This is a long non-coding RNA of Xiphophorus maculatus (southern platyfish), 4592 nucleotides long. RefSeq lists it as uncharacterized. NCBI's taxonomy places the organism in Eukaryota, Metazoa, Chordata, Actinopteri, Cyprinodontiformes, Poeciliidae. The transcript has 4 exons. The record is from RefSeq and is a predicted model, not a curated record.
UCCUCCUCAAUUCAAAUACAGUUCCUCGCCGUGUUGGACAUGUGAUGAAAAAGUGACGGCUUCUCGCGCUCCGCUACGCCUUCUAUUUCAUCAUCAGCAACACCCCCCCUCUUCACUACGCGUUCACCAUCUCCUCUCUCUCUCUGUCUCUUUUUCACCCCCCCUAACCUCCUGUCUUUCUUCUUCCCCGUUUCGUUUGCUCCCCUCUUUCUGCUCCAGCCUCACGCAAGGGGGAGACUGAAGCUCUGCGAGGGGAAAAGAGAGAGAGAGGAAAAAAAGUGCUGCUAUUUCUACAGUCAGGGCCUCCCCACAGCCCGCCCCUCCAUAGACGGAGCUGCUUUUUCUUUUUUUUUUUUCCUUUUUUUUUCACUCACUACUAGCUGGAUUUUAACCCUCUGCUUCCAACUAGCUGCACAGCAGCAGUUCUGCAAAACCUGGCAACAAGUUGAUAUUCCAGGGCCCUUUUCUCUGACUUUUGCCGCAUAGAUUUUUUUGCGUCCAUCUUCGGAUUUUCUUUUGCUGUUUAAUUUCUUUUUUUUUUUUACUGAAAAAGAACAAAAUAUUCUAACUUUGUUGGGGAUAUUUUUCCCCCUCCUCUCCGCUUACGGUUUUUGUGUCGAAUUUAUUCGCUUCUUCUGGUUUUCUUUUGGAUGGAUUUUUUUUUUUUUUUUAAAUCUUCUUCCUUUUCGGCGGCCGGGUGCGUGGGGACCAGAGGGCAGGGAGGGGGGCACGAGGGAUGAAAUUUCUCCGCUGGAUGGGAGAGCCGGGACGCCAUUUCGGGUAACCUGCCUGCGGUACGCUUGCGGUCUGGAUGACCACACAGUGGAUGGCAGCGAGAACGCGGCCUGUGUGGCCGGAAGGCGGCUGUUGCACGUUUCAGUGUUCCUAAACACCCGUCCGCCAUCGCCACUUUUGACCCGCAUGAACUUCCGUACCGUGUUUGUUUUUUCGCUCCGCUUUUUGCCCCCCUCUUGUUUCCUUCCCGUGUCUUGCCGUUCGUCUCUCCCCCUCUCUCUCUCUCUCUGUCCGUCUAUCUCUCUCUCUCCCCUCCUCACACUGACUGAAAGGGAACGAGUGGAGAGCUGAGCCGAAGCGCUUUCUGGGACAGGUGCCAACUCCAGACAAAAGAAAAUUUUAAACUCAACAGCAGAGGGAAACGUUCCGAGUCGGAAAACAAUCUUUGAAUAGUUGCAUCGGAAUAUCUGGUGUUUGCACGUUGCGCCCCCUUGCAUGUACAAAUUGUUCCCCUGUGAUUGUGUAUUUCUGUGUGUGCGCGCUGUUGAAACUAAAUGUUUCAGCAGCAAACUAAACACUUUGACACUUUUCUGAUUCGGAGUGAAGGCAUCUGAUUCAGGGCGUGAUGAGGGGAGAGCGGCGUACGGAAAAGCUGCAUUAUUCAUGCCGAGGCUGGGAUUUGGAGCGCCUGUGCCAUUUGCAAGCAUCAGACAUGCCGUGUGCCUGUUUGCUAACAUUCCUCACGGAAAGACUUGUUAACCGGGGCGGACAGGGCCGAGCCGGAGCCCCGCAGACCACCGCGUGGCGGCCUCUCGUUGUGUCGGGCCUCGCGUCGCUGGCCCAGACCGGACCGUCCGCCGGAGAGGAGACGGGCUAGCUAUCGCUAAGGAGGUACGGAUCUACGACGAGGAGAGCUGGACGGAAAUUCAUCACCAGAACAAACAUUCGCCUCCUCGCUCUCUGGAGUCUGUUGUGGGAUGGCGUUCUAGCCUCUGGCACUAAUAUUUGGCCAACAAGUGACGUUGUGGGAAGUCAAAGGCAGCAUUGUGAAGACUACCUGAUGUGCUACUGACACCGUGACGGGGUGGGAGGCCAGCCGACCCCGUUCGCCCCCGUCGGCGCUCCUCGCCGCAUGUUACGGAGCAGGUGAGAAGCAUUAACAGAGAGCAGCAGCUGUGGCCCUGUGCUCCACACAUGUGGACCGGGAUGAGCGCUUUGUUGGGCUCAGCCACUCUCAGUAAUGCUCACGCUCUUCUUGUCUUGGAAACAAAGAAAAACAGCUCAGGAAACAAGAAACCCUACAGAGCAUUGUGCAUGUUGCGCCACUCCGACAACGCCUCGCAGACGUGUUCACACCUCCUGACCGUUCACACCUUUCGCCGUGUUACGAACACAAACUUUAAUGUGUUUUUAUUAUAGCGACUCCUGAAAUGAUACAAAGAAAGAUGCAUAACUCUUGGUUUUCUUUACAAAUAAAAAUCUGAAAAGUGUGGUGUGCAUUUGCGUUGAACCACCAAUUAGUGCCACUUAGUAAAUAAAUGGAGCCCAUCUGUGUGUGAUUUAAUCUCAGCGUAAAUGCAGCUGUCGUUGUUUGCAGUUUGCCACCUGCCCUGCAGAGGGCGCCGUGAAAACGUUGUCCUGUGGUCAGGGGAACCCAGUAGUGAGCUUAUUUUUGUAUCCAAAGCGGUAAAUUAAUCCUACACAUCUCCCCGACCUCACCAUCCCCACUGUGAAACACGGCAGUGGCUCCGUGAUGCUGUGGGGACACUUUUCUUCAGCAACGACAAGUAAGUUGGUCAAAGUUGGUCCUACGAUAGAUGGAACUACAAUGGAAUGAUUUCCAUUAUUGCAUAUUCAUGUGAAUGGCCUAGUCAAAGGCCAGACCUAAAACCAUAUGAGAAUCUGUGACAAGACUUCAAAAUUGCUCUCCAUCCAACCUGGACUGAGGUUUUACUUCACAACUGUGCACGACUCUGCCUUAGGCCUGUUCUUGCUGGAGAACUGACUCCCCCGCAGCAUGAUACCACCACUGCCGUGUUUUACAGUGGAAAACGUUCAGUUUUGUUCUCAUCAAACCAGAGCUUCUUUUUCCACAUGUGGCUUGUGUACAAACAGCACUUCUUAUAGUUUUAUUUAAAUGUUUUUGUUUUUUGUUGGGUUUUUUUACUUUUGUUUCUACAGCUCGUCUCAUUGAGAUCCAAAAUCUCAUUUACAAGACGGACCUGUUUCAAUUAAACAAAACGACUAAAAUCACAAACACGGCAACGUGAGCAAUUAAGAAAUUAACAAGCUAAUAAAAUAUCUGUUCACAAUCAAAUUACAAACUAAUAAUUGUUCAUUUGGUUAAUGUUUAAAUGGACUUAAGUGACUUUUAAAAAGAAAAUUUUAAGAGGUAUUGGAGUAAAGUCAUCCUAAAAUCACACCACUAGGUUUUUUAUUUGUAAAAAUCAUGAAUUAAUUUCCUUAAUUUUCCUUAAUUACACGCUACUUUAUGUGGAUCUAUCACACAAAAUAUCAUCAGUCCAUUGAGGUUUGUGUUUGCGACAUGACAGCAGGUAUGAAUAUAUUUAAAACAUUCUCAAUCAUCUUGUGUUGAUUUGAUUUAAUUGUGAUUUAAAUCAGCUCCACCGACUUUUUAUACGUAAACUCAAAGUGGGACAAUCAGGAGGUAAUGCUGAUUAAAUGUAGCAGCACAUUGUCAUACCUUUGUGGUUAAACCUAUUAGUUCCAAUUACGCCUGCAGCAUACAAGUUACCUACAGGUUGCAUUUGAAUGUGAAAAUAUCUUUGCCCAUGCAAUUUGUUUGGGAAAUGGGUGCCCCAGUCCGAUCAUUUGAAUUCCCCUUCAGGCCUGAGCCAUGAACUCCAAGACCCAGUUGUCACAUUGUGCUCUCCACACACAGGCUCCUUUCACGGCGCGGCGUCCCAGAGGAGAGCGCCGCGCGUGUUUGUGUUUCUGUGAAUCAUAACUGCUGCUUUGCAUUCAGCGAGGUGUGUCGAAGCGGAUUACAGGCAUGAACUCAGGCGGGAGCAGAGCGAAGGAGAGAAAGCUGUGUUUUUUUUUGUCUUUUUAUUUUUGUUUUGUUUUUUUUUUUUUUACAUCAAGACUGUCCUUUGGGGUGAGGUAGUAGGUUGUAUAGUUUUAGGGGUCACACCCUUUCUGUCAGAUAACUAUACAACUUACUGUCUUUCCUGAAGUGGCUGUAAUGUCGUCAGACACCAGCGCCGGAGAACUCUGAAACCGGCUCAACGCCGGAAAUGACAAGCUUACGGACAGACUGGACACAGGAUGUAACCGGGACGCGGAAUUUGAACCUUAGUUGCAAACGGUUUGUAGUAACGUUUGGUGGUUUUGCUCUCAAGUUUAAGCUCUUGUUUUAGACAAUCGUUGCAAUUUUACCUUUUGUCUUCCUCUGCAUUGUGUAAAACUGUUCCUUCACCACUACUUUUGUGAUAUGUGAAAUAUAGAAAUCAAAGCGUCACAAAAAGACCGUUUGAGGAUGUCGGUUUCCUGUUGCUGAGAGAACACACGUUUGUUAGAAAUCGCUGAGUUCAGUGGCAAACACGUAGGGCCUUUUCUGAUGUUCGUACGGGGUGAGGUAGUAGGUUGUGUGGUUUCAGGGUAGUGAUUUUGCCCAAUCAGGAGAUAACUAUACAACCUACUGCCUUCCCCGAAGGGCAGCAAUCCUACACCAUACAGAAACCAACAAACCCAACCAGUUUGAGUCACUGAGCCGCCUUUUCUUGGAGAGCAGCUUUUGAUUGUCAGCAGUGCAAUAGUAGCAUCAGGUUAAAGAUUUUUUUUUUUCAAGUUUUUGUUACGACCCAAAAUAAAAAGAAAAUAGAUAAUAAAUCUCA